This 468-nucleotide ribosomal RNA is filed under the name uncultured bacterium. RNAcentral's name for it is "partial 16S ribosomal RNA". It matches the Rfam family "Bacterial small subunit ribosomal RNA", at positions 28 to 507 of the family's 1533-position model. The record is from RNAcentral.
GACGAACGCUGGCGGCGUGCUUAACGCAUGCAAGUCGAACGGAAAGGCCCUGCUUUUGUGGGGUGCUCGAGUGGCGAACGGGUGAGUAGCACGUGAGUAACCUGCCCUUGACUUUGGGAUAACUUCAGGAAACUGGGGCUAAUACCGGAUAGGAGCUCCUGCUGCAUGGUGGGGGUUGGAAAGUUUCGGCGGUUGGGGAUGGACUCGCGGCUUAUCAGCUUGUUGGUGGGGUAGUGGCUUACCAAGGCUUUGACGGGUAGCCGGCCUGAGAGGGUGACCGGCCACAUUGGGACUGAGAUACGGCCCAGACUCCUACGGGAGGCAGCAGUGGGGAAUAUUGCACAAUGGGCGGAAGCCUGAUGCAGCAACGCCGCGUGCGGGAUGACGGCCUUCGGGUUGUAAACCGCUUUCGCCUGUGACGAAGCGUGAGUGACGGUAAUGGGUAAAGAAGCACCGGCUAACUACGUG